GCAUGAAAUGCCCCAUUUUCAACCAUUUUUUAAUUUAUAGAAAGGACAAUGUCAUAUGGUUCAACCUAGCCCACGUAUAAGACUGAGAGACGCGAGGAAGACACCUAAGGCAAAGUAAAGGGAGUUGUUACUAUUUAAAGGCAGCUGUGGCUUGGCCACGUGAGCAUACUGGGCUGAAAAUGGUAAGCAGGAUUUGUAAUUUCUUCUAAGUCGAGUCGACCCUUUGAUGAGUAAGUAUUGAAAGCAUGCAAAUAUUCCUUGCAUUUGCUCUUCUAUCUUCUUAGUUCACUGUGGGAUGAGAUGCUAUUGAUGUCACACCCAAUUCCCCUUAUCCCAGCCUGGAAUGUGGCCUGCAGAAGGUUCUCUGUGUCUCUUCACCUGAAGCCCUUUCUUGGCUACGGAAGCAUGUUCAGCCUAGGUCCAACAACAAGGAGUUAACAUCUCAGGAGUAAUCCUCAUCUUGAUAAAUUAAGGCCUGGUGGAUACAUUCCCAGCUUCCUCACGUCUCAGUGGGAUUGAGCGUGGUGGUCCACAGUGCUAACCUGCUCAUUAACACACAUUUUAUCUCCUUUCUUCCCUUUCCUACCUCAUGCCUCCGUACCCUCACCCCACUUUCUGGGAUCCCCUCCCCACUUCAACCAAGAUCCCUGCCUCAGGGUUUUGCUUUUGGGGGAGCUGAAAUAAAACAUCUGGUGCCAGAAAUGGCCCUAGAAAGUGGCCUCAGGAUGAGACACUGGACUUGAUGCCAGCCAGAUGACAACAGGAUCCCACUGCUAGUAGUAAGUGUAGUGGUGAUAAACCCUGUCACACUACUGGGUUAGUUACCAACACUCUCACCUGGGUAUGGAUUGGAAUGAAAGAAGAGAAGACAGUCUCUGAUUAGCCAACUAUUACCUGAAGAGAUGCCCUGACAACUAGAAAGCCCCCAGGUCUCUAUUUAAAAGAACCCACAUCUCCUAUGUGCAGAAGCCAGAAUGUACUGAGAAUCCGGCCCAUGAUUGGAUUACAGCAGUGAUGCAGAUUCAAAGGAGACCAAAUUCACAUGCCCGGAAAGUCUCCUUUGCUUAAGUCAGGGCCCUGAUUGGGAAGGAAUGUGACUCUGAGAUAUGAGGGGCCCAUUUGGGCAAAUGCCCUCAACGACCUUGAUAUCCCAGAUUCUUCUGAACCCUUGGGUCUAGAAGAAGUGGCUCACUCCCCCUUGCUAGAGGAGGGUAGCCUCCUAUCACCUGGAAGCCAUUCCAAGGCCUCUCUUGAAAGGAGACUGGCAAGAUAACCUUGGUCUUCCUCAGGAUCGGUCCCUACUUCCACUCAUUACUUCUAAACCAAUAAAUAGGGCUGAAUAUCAGCAUGCCCUAUGCAGAGAAAUAUUAUCCUGCUUUGAGAAGAAAUGGAUUAGUCCCCCAAAAGAACAGAACCUGGACUGGCAGAAACUGGAAGAACAUGUAUGGUUAUGGAUCUUGAGGAUGCUGGCCUAGUGGGAAGUAGAAAAGAAGUUGGAUAAGGAAGAGUUUAUUGACAUAGACUGUCUUCUGUGACUCAGGAUUUGGCAUGUUUGUAAGAACACAUGGAGCCAGUCCUAAUACACUGCUGCAAUGGGCCUUGGUGCUUGAGGAUGAUGGUAUGCCAAAAACGAGGUGGAGAUUCCACAACUGCUUAACAAGAGUGCUGAGGAGGGUUCAGAAGGCUCAGAGGGAUGACAUGCUAGAAUGGAUAUAAGGCGAGAGAGCCCACCCAUGGGCAGGGGUAUUUCCUUCACUGAAACAAUAAAGACUGCAUUGGUAAGGGGACAUUAACAUUGUUGAGAAGCUCAGUGGUGGCUGUCUUCUGUUGGCUAGAACUGACAACAGAAGAUGCUGGCACAUAACUGGGCCUCCUAUGAUAGGAAGGAUUCCAGAACAAAAAACUAAUGGCUGCACUCAGACAUUAGAGGAAUAAAAUGAAUACAGUAACCUAAUGGGCCGUAAGGCCAGAAGAACAACCAGGGAGCCAAGGACCAGUGGCUAAUAGAUUACGGCGCUCCUAGAGGUGAGGUGAAUGGGCAGUCAAUGAAGUUACUGUUAUAAAACCAAGCCAACCAACCAAACAGCUGAUGAGUAAAAGACUGAUGUCAGCCACCACAGUGGAAAAUCCUGAUCUCUCAUAGUUACCAGACCUAGUCAGUUCUCAGUUCCAGAGCCCAUGGAUUGAAGGAGAGUCUGGGUCUCCUGAGGAGGAGCCCUGCAGCACUAUAGCAAUCUUAAAUAAUACACACUGUCUCAAAUCUUUCCCAAAGAGCCCCAUGGCCAUUUUUCAGAGUAACUGUAUGCUGAGAAAGCAGAAUAUACACAUCUUUCAAGAGCUACUCAACAUAGGGCCUGAGUGACAUACCCAGGGGAUCUAAAGCACCACCACAGCCCUCUUGUUAGAGUGGGACAUAUAAGAUAGGCAAUCUAUAAAGUUCUGACCCAAGGCUAUCUCAGGGCAGAUCCAGUAGGCCUGUGGGUCAAUCCCCUGAUCUCCCUUGUUUCUGAGAGGAUAAAUGGGAUGAGUGCACUUAACUGAGAGACCCCAAAAUUGGUUUCUUGACCUGAGGGAUAAGAGCCAUAAUGGUAGAAAAGGCUUAUUUAAUGCUCCAAAAUGCUCUCUCCAUCCCACCCCCUCCCCACUCCUGGUCAAAAUCAGGGGCAACAUCCCAGGAGUAUUGACAGUGAUCCCCACAAUAUCCCAUUGAAUGGUUCCUGCAAAGCAAAACAGAGCAAAAGUGGAAGAUGACAGUGGACUAACAUAAACCAAGAAGUAGCUCCAAUAGCAGCUGCUGUGCUGGAUGUAGCAUCCCUUCGAGUCAGCACUUGAUAUGAGGCUGGAGAUUUGGUUAAUGAAUUCUUUUAAAUCCCCUUCAGAAAAGAGAAUCAAGAACAGGUUGAAUUCACCUGGGUCAGAUAACACAGUGUACACUCAAAGUUUUGCUCCAGGAGCAUAUAAACCCUCCUGCUCUGUUACAAAACUGUCCAAAGAAGUCCUUGAUCAUCGUGACAUUCUGUAGAACAUCAUCCUGGUCCAAUACUUUGAUGACAAAAUGUUAACUGGACCUAGUGAACAGGAAUGAACUGGCAAAUAAUCUGAGUGUUCCUUAUGACACAUGCACCAGAGAGAAGGAGGUAAUUCCUACAAAGAUUCAGAGGUCAGAGGUCCAACAAUCUAGGGAAUACUGGGACAUCCUGCCAAGUCAAGAGCCAGUUAUUGCAUUUUGUACCUUCUACUACUAAGAGAGGUAAGCACUAGGUAGUAUUAUCUGGAUUCUGAAGUCAGCAUGUACAACACUUAGGAAUAUUGCUCUGACCAUUUCUUGGGUCACUCAGAAGGCUGCAAGUUUUGAGUACACAGUUAGGAGGGCUUUGUACCUCUCUAUGGUUCAGGCUGUAGUGUAGGGGUACCUCUUGGUGAUAUGUGGGGGUAACAAUAAAUGGGAAAUUUCACAAAUACAGCAGGACAGGGGCAAAAUGAUCAGGGGCUCAGACAUCUAAGAAAGGAAAGUCUAGGUCAUCUCAUGAGGCCAGCCAUGCUGACCAGCAAAAGUGCUGGUUGAGGGUGAGGGGAAUCUAGAAUAAGUAGAAGAGGGAGAUGAUAAAUGUUAAUUAUGGCUUCAGGACCAAUAUGCAACAGAGAGGACUACAGCCUGUCCCACUAAGCUUUUCGUUGAUGUUUUCCUUUUUGUAUUCAUUGUUUUAAAAAUAUUGUGACCAACCAUUAUCCUCGAGAGAAAGUGAACUUAACAUGGGACACCAGGUGGUACAGUAGAGCGGAGUGGAUGGCUGGAGAUGCUGGUGAUUACUUCAACAUAUCCCCUUCAUCUAUUCCCAGAGGUUUUCUUUUCUUUUAAUUGAGAUAUAACUUACGUAUAAAAUUUAUCAUUUUAAAGUAUACAAUUCAGUGAUUUUUAGUAUAGUCACAAAGUUGUACAACUAUUACAACUAUCUAAUUCCAGAACAUUUCAUACCCUCAAAAUGAAAUGCAGGACCCAUUAACAGUCACUCCCCAUCUACUCCUGAGUUUGCAAGCAGACAGUUCCCAUGCUUGGCUUCUGGAGGAGUCUCUUUGCCUGAGAGCAUUCUCUGGAAUUUGGUCUACAUCCAGGCAGGCUGGACAUGGCAAGGAAUUAAUACCUCAGAUUUCUAACCUCAACCAGUGAGGGAUGGAAAGUGGUGGAUAAUAUUCCCAGCUACCUUGUCCUUCAGUGUAAUAAUUCAGAGAUGUUUUCUGUACCAUGUCUCAGAGGGUCCCCAGCAGGAUUGGGUCCCAGUUGCCCAUAGUGGUGACUCUUUCGAUCUGUCUCAGUUCCUCAGUCUUCCGCGGGAUUUCCUGAAAUCACUUCCCAAAUAAACUACCUGCACCCAAAUCCUUAUCCUAUAGUCUACAUUUGGGAAAACCCACCUACGAUUCUUUUCAACAAGACUAUCAUGAGGUCUUUGUCAAGCACCUUGCUGAAAUUCUGACAUACUAUACCUCUCAUGCUUUUAAAAAGACAAAUGAGGCCGGGCGCAGUGGCUCACGCCUGUCAUCCCAGCACUUUGGG
Molecule: long non-coding RNA, 4552 nt
Organism: Homo sapiens (human)
Lineage: Eukaryota; Metazoa; Chordata; Mammalia; Primates; Hominidae
Source: Ensembl